AUUGAACGCUGGCGGCAGGCCUAACACAUGCAAGUCGAGCGGAUGAAGGGAGCUUGCUCCUGGAUUCAGCGGCGGACGGGUGAGUAAUGCCUAGGAAUCUGCCUGGUAGUGGGGGAUAACGUCCGGAAACGGGCGCUAAUACCGCAUACGUCCUGAGGGAGAAAGUGGGUGAUCUUCGGACCUCACGCUAUCAGAUGAGCCUAGGUCGGAUUAGCUAGUUGGUGGGGUAAAGGCCUACCAAGGCGACGAUCCGUAACUGGUCUGAGAGGAUGAUCAGUCACACUGGAGCUGAGACACGGUCCAGACUCAUACGGGAGGAAGCAGUGGGGAAUAUUGGACAAUGGGCGAAAGCCUGAUCCAGCCAUGCCGCGUGUGUGAAGAAGGUCUUCGGAUUGUAAAGCACUUUAAGUUGGGAGGAAGGGCAGUAAGUUAAUACCUUGCUGUUUUGACGUUACCAACAGAAUAAGCACCGGCUAACUUCGUG
RNAcentral lists this ribosomal RNA (484 nucleotides) under uncultured bacterium. Its description in RNAcentral is "partial 16S ribosomal RNA". It matches the Rfam family "Bacterial small subunit ribosomal RNA", at positions 30 to 507 of the family's 1533-position model. The record is from RNAcentral.